Molecule: long non-coding RNA, 1217 nt
Organism: Nothobranchius furzeri (turquoise killifish)
Lineage: Eukaryota; Metazoa; Chordata; Actinopteri; Cyprinodontiformes; Nothobranchiidae
Source: RefSeq, a predicted model, not a curated record
UAUAACUCUAAAAUGUCGACAAACUUUACUUUAGAUUUACGGGCAUUAGCAGCACUAAAGCGUUAGCAUCCGGCUUGCUAUCGCUAGCACAGUAUGCUAGUAAAGUUAGCACCUAGAUUAAUGUGGAUUUGGCUGAUUUUCGUGGAAUAAAACGUGAUUUCUGAUCAACGCCUUCUUUUACACCAGAUGAUAACCUCCCACUGAUUGUAACAGCAGAGAGCCUGUGUGUUAUUCUACGUGAGUGUGAUGUAAUCUUAGCAUCCAGCAAAUAAAGUCCCAUAUCAGCUAAAAUGCAGCGUGACAAAGUCAUUAAAGUGCGUCAACACAGUGGAUUUAAUAGAGUUUUAAAGAACGAUCUCUGAGUGGAGUGAGGUUAGUUUUUUUGUCUCACUGCAGAUAUAAAAACUAACUCUGCAUCAGUCAGACGCAGCAAAGCUCACCGUCUGUAUGAGCGUGAGCGUCGGAAAGCUGAUAAAAUCGGCUGUAAAAUAAUUAAAACAAAAGUAAAAAUGCUCCUUUGCUUUUUAGAGUCAACAUCCAGAAGUCUGGAGCCGUGUUUCACUGACAGGCUGUCAGACUAACGCCCUGAUGAGCUCAGCAGGGACAAACUGGUCUGAUGUUUAGGAACACAGAACGUUCAGAUGUUGGCGUUUCACGUCACCUACUGAGGAAGGAGGCUCACCAGUAAAGAGAUGGUAGCUGGACCAGACCAAAAAUAUGGCGAUGACAUCAUGGAACUGGUCUUUGGAAAAGUUUUCCCUGAACCAACUCCGUUUCUAGAUGAGGUAGAGAAGAUCUGCAUCUCACCAACCCUCUGGUCUCAGUAUUCAGACAACGGAGGUCUCCCACUGUUAUCCAGGACCAGUUUGAAGCCCACAUACUGCCCCUCCCUCAUCAUCAGGAAACAUCAAUCCGUUUCCUGAGGACAACAGAAGACGGCAGGAGGACAGGAACUCUGUGACCUAGAUACCACCAGCACCGAGACACAAAGCACCUGUGUGCACAACGCCUGUUUAACUACUAAAGCCUGUUUAUUAUAUUGUUCUACUUAUUUGCUGUGAGGUUAAUACUUAGAAAAUUUGUAUAUUAAUGUAAACAAUAAAAAAAAUCACUGAUUGUAUGUUUUCUUUUAGAUGUAAUGGUCCAAACUCAGCCUUGUAGACAUUUAUUGCAUCCUGUAGGUAACAGGCUCAGAUCCAGGAUGACCCAGCAUGCUC